UAAGGAAUAUUGGUCAAUGGACGCAAGUCUGAACCAGCCAUGCCGCGUGGAGGAUGAAGGUCCUCUGGAUUGUAAACUUCUUUUAUCUGGGACGAAACACUUCUUUUCUAAGAGGCCUGACGGUACCAGAUGAAUAAGCACCGGCUAACUCCGUGCCAGCAGCCGCGGUAAUACGGAGGGUGCAAGCGUUAUCCGGAUUCACUGGGUUUAAAGGGUGCGUAGGUGGGUAUGUAAGUCAGAGGUGAAAUCCCCGAGCUUAACUUGGGAACUGCCUUUGAUACUAUAUAUCUUGAAUGCCGUAGAGGUAAGAGAAAUAUGUCAUGUAGCGGUGAAAUGCUUAGAUAUGACAUGGAACACCAAUUGCGAAGGCAGCUUACUAUGCGGUUAUUGACACUGAGGCACGAAAGCGUGGGUAGCAAAC
RNAcentral lists this ribosomal RNA (421 nucleotides) under uncultured bacterium. Its description in RNAcentral is "bacterial SSU rRNA". It matches the Rfam family "Bacterial small subunit ribosomal RNA", at positions 355 to 773 of the family's 1533-position model. The record is from RNAcentral.